Long non-coding RNA from Eriocheir sinensis (Chinese mitten crab), 235 nucleotides. RefSeq lists it as uncharacterized. The record is from RefSeq and is a predicted model, not a curated record. NCBI's taxonomy places the organism in Eukaryota, Metazoa, Arthropoda, Malacostraca, Decapoda, Varunidae. The transcript has 2 exons.
CUACAUUUGAUAAGGCGUUCGUAGAGGUAGAGGGAGUUUUUGAGCCUAGUGAUAAUCUGACAAGGCCUCUGCAAUAUGGAUGUAUAAAAAAAAUAAAAAAAUAAACAUGAGAAGUUACACACCUACAUUUGAUAAGGCGUUCGUAGAGGUAGUGUUAUUGUUGCCAUGGGGAGUUUUUGAGCCUAGUGAUAAUCUGCCAAGGCCUCUGCAAUAUGGAUGUAUAAAAAAAAAUAAA